This 554-nucleotide ribosomal RNA is filed under the name uncultured bacterium. RNAcentral describes it as "partial 16S ribosomal RNA". It matches the Rfam family "Bacterial small subunit ribosomal RNA", at positions 355 to 900 of the family's 1533-position model. The record is from RNAcentral.
UAGGGAAUCUUCCACAAUGGACGCAAGUCUGAUGGAGCAACGCCGCGUGAGUGAAGAAGGUUUUCGGACCGUAAAGCUCUGUUGUUGGUGAAGAAGGAUAGAGGUAGUAACUGGCCUUUAUUUGACGGUAAUCAACCAGAAAGUCACGGCUAACUACGUGCCAGCAGCCGCGGUAAUACGUAGGUGGCAAGCGUUGUCCGGAUUUAUUGGGCGUAAAGCGAGCGCAGGCGGAAGAAUAAGUCUGAUGUGAAAGCCCUCGGCUUAACCGAGGAAUUGCAUCGGAAACUGUUUUCUUGAGUGCAGAAGAGGAGAGUAGAACUCCAUGUGUAGCGGUGGAAUGCGUAGAUAUAUGGAAGAAUACCAGUGGCGAAGGCGGCUCUCUGGUCUGCAACUGACGCUGAGGCUCGAAAGCAUGGGUAGCGAACAGGAUUAGAUACCCUGGUAGUCCAUGCCGUAAACGAUGAGUGCUAAGUGUUGGGAGGCUUCCGCCUCUCAGUGCUGCAGCUAACGCAUUAAGCACUCCGCUUGGGGGAGUACGACCGCAAGGUUGAAAC